Oncorhynchus tshawytscha (Chinook salmon) is the source of this 1652-nucleotide long non-coding RNA. The record is from Ensembl. NCBI's taxonomy places the organism in Eukaryota, Metazoa, Chordata, Actinopteri, Salmoniformes, Salmonidae.
UUGAGUCCCUCAGACAGCCAGCGCCCACGCCCCUGGACCUGCAGUGCUUCCACCCUGAUGAGCUGAGAGUAAACUCCCCCAGCCCCUCUCCCUCUCUAACCGAUGAGCUGAGAGCAGCAAACUCCCCAAGCUCCUCUCUCUAUCUGACCCAAAAUGUCCUCAUUCAGACUGCUGCCAGCACAGAGGAUUUGCUGGAGGCUCCAGAGUGCGUUCCUUUAUCCGACCAUCAUAAAGCCAUCAAUCAAGAUAAGGGGCUCUCCCUCUCCUUCCAGAGCGCAAUGGAUACCCUGAUGGACAUGAGGCAAGCCUACCAAGAUCUGGGGAAGGGUAGCAGUCAAGGUUCAUCUCUACCCAGUCUGUGGUUCAGAGCCAGACACUUACACAAACUGGAUCCUACACCAGGGCUAUUGAAGACCACAGGAAGCUCAUCCUGCCUGCCUGUUCCCCCCAGGCUCAGAUGUGAGGCUGUGGCCCCCAGCCCGGUGGCCCCUCACCCAGCCCAGCUGAGCCAAUCUGCCCCCGGUCUAUUGGAGCCUCUCCUGGACUCUCUGGUCCAGGCCCGAGUUCACAUCCAGAACAGGCUUGGAUGUGGUGAAACGGAGAAAAAAAGCAGUGGUCGAAAGGGCUCCUUCCCUACCCUACUUCCAGGCCCCAUCAGGACCCCCAAGCUGUUAGCCCCUCUGGAGGGGAGGAAUAGAAACGGAGGAGUGCUGCCCGGCCUGAAGCACCCUUCUCCCCUAAAGCCCAUCAGCCUUGUGCCCCUGAUGCCCCUGACCUCCAUGUCCUCCAUAACCUCCAGGCUGAGGAGGGAGAGGCUGGCCAGGACCAGGGUGAGCCCCAGAGGGUCCCCAGGCACCAGAGGGGGCAGCGAGGAGAGCAGCUUCAGUAGCCAAUCCUCCAUCGACUUGGAGGUAGAGGUGGAUGACAAUAAGAGAGACUUAAGAGACCUAAGAGAGACUACAGCAAAACAACACACUGGAGAGACUUUUGAGGGAAGGUUGCAGUUGGAUCUAGACUCAUCUGGAAAGUUUAAUGUUGGAGAUUACAGUCAGGAUAAUGCAGACCAUAGGAAUAGGGAGUCGACAAGACAUCAGGGUGCCUUUCCUAGGGAUAACAAGGAAGGAGUAUCUAUCAAAUCUGACCCUGGAGGGAGAGGGUACAAAGCAAUAAUUGAGUUGAGUCACCAACUUAACUCCGAUUUGACAAAUUUCAAAGAUGUUAACAGCACUUCAUGCUUUGAGAGGGACUGUGAGGAUGAUGUUGUGGCAGUGGAAUGGACGAAGGUGAUGUGCUCAGGGGGUCUCUCAAAAGAGACUACAAGUACUGAGCCAACUACCACAUGUCCCUUUGCAUCUAAAAGAAAUGGAAACAAAGAGAUUCAAGUUGAUGACAAUGCAAAGACUAGUGUUGUGGAUGACACCAAGUAUCAAUGUCUUCCUUCUACUGUGAAUGUCACACUACCUGAAUUAAACCCUCCUACAGAGAAAAAGAUCAAACCUAUCAAGCCUGCCAAGAACAAAGAGAGUAGAGGCAGCACUAGCAUCCAAACCAAUCAGUCUUUCAACAUCUUGGCACACAAAGAUCACAUUCGGGGGAACAGCAAGUCCAAAAGCAACCUGAGGACUUCACCCAUUCCUUCACAAGUCAAAGGC